Micropterus salmoides (largemouth bass) is the source of this 261-nucleotide long non-coding RNA. RefSeq lists it as uncharacterized. The record is from RefSeq and is a predicted model, not a curated record. Lineage: Eukaryota; Metazoa; Chordata; Actinopteri; Centrarchiformes; Centrarchidae. The transcript is spliced from 2 exons.
GUCUCCAUUCAAGGAUUUUACUUCGUGCACUUCGUCCUACACAGCAGGGGACCGACAGGAAUCGCACCUCGCCCUCCGUGGACAAUGUUUCUCCUGCAGUACACAGCAGUGCCAAGGGAAACAAUUGAAAGCAGCCUGACACAUGGCGUGAUGGAUCACCAGAGGGAUGUUGGACACUACUGCUGCUACAUCUCUCAAGUAUCUGUGCCCAGUGCUGCUUCAGAGAUUGUAUUACAAUAAAUUUUAUUCCUAUGCAUUGGA